GACGAACGCUGGCGGCGUGCUUAACACAUGCAAGUCGAACGGAAAGGCCCUGCUUUUGCGGGGUGCUCGAGUGGCGAACGGGUGAGUAACACGUGAGUAACCUGCCCUUGACUUUGGGAUAACUUCAGGAAACUGGGGCUAAUACCGGAUAGGAGCUCCUGCUGCAUGGUGGGGGUUGGAAAGUUUCGGCGGUUGGGGAUGGACUCGCGGCUUAUCAGCUUGUUGGUGGGGUAGUGGCUUACCAAGGCUUUGACGGGUAGCCGGCCUGAGAGGGUGACCGGCCACAUUGGGACUGAGAUACGGCCCAGACUCCUCCGGGAGGCAGCAGUGGGGAAUAUAGCACAAUGGGCGGAAGCCUGAUGCAGCAACGCCGCGUGCGGGAUGACGGCCUUCGGGUUGUAAACCGCUUUCGCCUGUGACGAAGCGUGAGUGACGGUAAUGGGGAAAGAAGCACCGGCUAACUACGU
RNAcentral lists this ribosomal RNA (467 nucleotides) under uncultured bacterium. Its description in RNAcentral is "partial 16S ribosomal RNA". It matches the Rfam family "Bacterial small subunit ribosomal RNA", at positions 28 to 506 of the family's 1533-position model. The record is from RNAcentral.